GGGGCCGACCUGGUUUCGACGUGGGUGCGGAUCCGGAGUGGGGCAUGCCGAGCACCAGUUCGCUCGUAAAACCACUGGAAACAAAGUAACUGCAAACGACUCUACGUUCGCACUCGCUGCUUAAUUGCAGAUGAGCUUCUCAACGGUUGGCCUAUGGGCCGGGCCGCGAAUCGCAAGGUUCAAGGCUGAGAAGUCAUUCACAUAGGCUGGUUUCGUGGCGGGUCACUCGUCACGGAACAAGAUUUAGUGACUGGCGGGAAAGGUAGCGUGCCGCUGCGCGACCUGAACGCGAGAUUCAAAUCAGACGGCUACGCAUGUAGAACUGCCUGGUGAUGGCUGACGGACGGGGGUUCAAUUCCCCCCGGCUCCACCA
This 373-nucleotide transfer-messenger RNA is filed under the name Burkholderiales. RNAcentral describes it as "Paucibacter sp018780645 Standard tmRNA". It matches the Rfam family "transfer-messenger RNA". From Rfam's summary of the family: Bacterial tmRNA, also known as 10Sa RNA or SsrA, is named for its dual tRNA and mRNA-like properties. Its role is to liberate the mRNA from a stalled ribosome. To accomplish this part of the tmRNA is used as a reading frame that ends in a translation stop signal. The record is from RNAcentral. RNAcentral also lists the same sequence under 2 other names. Lineage: Bacteria; Pseudomonadati; Pseudomonadota; Betaproteobacteria.